UGCGCUUCGCUGGCGCGGAGUCUGUCCCACACGCGAGGGCGCGGCCACCGAGCGUCGGCCCCGGGGGCGUGUGUGCCGGGGGCGGGAGGUGCGUGGCGGGCUCAGGCCCGGUGCCUCCGAAUUGGGGACGCCUAGCUAGCGACCCUGCGCACGCUCCGGGAGCGCGGAUGUGGUGCCGGGCAUGGUGCCGGGCAAGGUGCUGGGCAAGUUGCGCCUGUUGGCUCAUUUACUCCUCUAACUCCUCUGCCACGUAGUAUGUAUGCCAAACAACAACUAGGAAAGACAACGAGGAUUUCUUUUUAAGUGGAAAAAAGAAAAGCAGAAUAUGAGGAAACAGAGACUGACCACAUUGCCCAAGGUCACACAGCUAAUAAAUUAGAAAAGCAAGAAUUUGAACCCAGGUGGCCUGACUCCAGAGCUCAUGGUUUUAGAGUGAAUGAAUGGUGAUGCCUUAGCCACACUAGCCAGGCAUGCUGGGAGUGAGGUCACGUCUGAUGCAGACAACCUUCCUGUGGGGAGUGGAGGACCUACCUACUUCCUGGAUCUUGCCCAGGCUUGCUCAGGUGUGGGGGUGCGACUGACCAUUGACCCUGAGACCAAUCACUGACCCUGACCUUGGAAUGCUGUCCCCCUCAUUGGAUGGAAUUUUCCCUUGAAAUUCUUGUUCUCCAAUAAAAGGCCACUCCCUGGU
Long non-coding RNA from Marmota monax (woodchuck), 691 nucleotides. RefSeq lists it as uncharacterized. The record is from RefSeq and is a predicted model, not a curated record. NCBI's taxonomy places the organism in Eukaryota, Metazoa, Chordata, Mammalia, Rodentia, Sciuridae. The transcript has 3 exons.